UGUGCUCUGGGGAAGAAAAGCCAACACUUUGGAGUUUGCAACCCUCCCCAGCUCAGAGGCUAAGGAUGGAGAAUGUCAGUCCGCUUGGGACGAUUCCAAAGGGAGUCAGGCCGCCGGAUUUAGGGUCUCCACCAGCCAGGAGUUCGUGAUCUUUUUGGUCUCUGGAGCCAUGCAGUGGGAUUUCCUCUGGCACCCUACCUGAGCGAAGCCUCUUUCACCACAAAGAGGAUACAUGUGUACAUGUGAAAACAUUCUGUGCAGGAGCAUGUGUGUAUGCAGUUACCCAACUAAUCAAAGCCCCUUGCUCCUUCAUUCAUGCACAUGGGGACAAAGGUUCCACAGAGCCAGGCUCAGCUGCCCUCUCCUCCCAGAUCACAGCCAAAGCCUUCCCCACCGGACACAUCUUUCAUCUUUCUGCCAGUGAAAUCAACUGGGCCUAGGAAUUAAAUUCGAGCUAGAAUUCCAAGCUUCUCUCCUAUUGAACAACACCAACACACUAUAUAAAUGUACAUGAAUGUUAAUGUUAUCUGUAUCCCAAAUUUUUAGGUCCCCUUCCUCUUCUCUAGACCUCAGCCAUCACUACCUCCAGGCUUCCAGGGAUCCAGGCCAAAAUUCCCUGUUAGUUUCACUCUCCUUUUCCUUCUCCCAGCUCAGAUUCCCAGCUGGGGCUCCACUUCAUGGGUCUCCUACACCUCCCCAUUUGGGUUCUGAAACUCCAUGAGCCAGAGAACCCCAGGAACUAAACGCUAAGCCUCCUGGACUGCAGAUAAUGAGUCUAAGGAGACCGGAGCCCCUCGGAGCUAGCCAUUGCCAAAGGAUCACAAAAACUCUACAGGGGUUGGAGAUCCUACUCCAUGUC
This 859-nucleotide long non-coding RNA is filed under the name Homo sapiens (human). RNAcentral's name for it is "HSALNT0267291". The record is from RNAcentral. Lineage: Eukaryota; Metazoa; Chordata; Mammalia; Primates; Hominidae.